This 1047-nucleotide long non-coding RNA is filed under the name Homo sapiens (human). RNAcentral describes it as "ZEB2 antisense RNA 1". The stretch from base 497 to 557 matches the Rfam family "ZEB2 antisense RNA 1 conserved region 2". Lineage: Eukaryota; Metazoa; Chordata; Mammalia; Primates; Hominidae. The record is from RNAcentral.
UGUGUGUAUGUGUCUUCUAUUAAAUCCAUGUCUAUAUUACUUUGCCACUAAAAAUACAAUUUUAAAAGUUAUCCUAAUUUAAAACCCUGAUAUCCUGACAGCAGUUUUCUUCCCAGCUGUAGUGCCCCCCCCUCCACUUUGGUAAACGACUCAAGUUCCAUGAGGACUUUCACUUCUUUAUUUAUAAUCACAGAAGUGAGGUGUUACUUCACACACAUACACACACAAAGAAUGAAAUAAAGAAAUGAAACUCGCUAAGCAGACAAAAACAGACAACUUUCUGCUUAGAAAACAGCCUUCUCGGUGGGAGAGGAUGAACUGCCAUGUCUAAGAGAAAGACUUGCCCCCGAAUUUGUAGGUCUGUAACUGACCAAGUUUUGUAAUUAUUAACAGGUAUUUGCCAAGUCCUAAUUGCUGAAUAUAAUGAAUUGGAACUAGAUGCGAAAAUAGAGCAGGACCUCUCCCCUUGAUGAGUUUUUAUUCCAGCCAUAUAAUUCUCAAUAAAACUUUUCCUGGGCUGGAUAGCAAAGGACACCUUUGGUUACCUGAAUGAACAGGUACAGGGGAAAUUAUUUGGGGGAGGGAAAAAGGAGAGAAAAGCAAGGAGAGAGAGUGUGAGUGUAAGAGAAAGCGAAGAAGCCACUCUUGAGAAAAGCUUGCCAUAAAGGAGCUAAACCCACCUGAAAUUCCUACCCACGGACACCCCUUCUCACUUCAGACUCACAUCCCCACUCAAAAUGAGAAAAUUAGAAAAGGAGGAUGGAGGACGAGCACACCAAAAAGGGAUAAAAAGAGAGAAAAGGGGAGGAAAAAAAACCUACCUGCGAAGUCUUGUUUGUAGUUUUGGCCAGAAAUGGUGAGAAGAAAAAGCAUGAAGAAGCCGCGAAGUGUGGGGGAGAAAAAGGUGGAAGCGAAGAAACAGCUCCCGGAGCAAACUGUACAAAAACCUCGCCAAGAGUGUCGGGAGGCAGGACCGUUAUUCCUGCAGAGCAGGAGAGAGACGAGAGACCCUGAAACACGCGCCACCUAUCUUUGUGGGGAGGGAUA